UAAGACCUGGCCCCUGGGACCGAACUACUUUGCAGGCCUCACCUUCUACGAGUCUUUCCUUUGUAAGGGAUGCUCCAGGCAAAUAGCUCUUCUUCUUGCUAAUGCUGUAAAAACAUCAAAGAGCUGCAGCCUCUGGCUUAGCCUUCACCGCUCCUUCCCUCUGGAGACGUGUGCACUCCUGCACAUCACUCUAAUCUCUGCUUAGAGCCACCUAGGGGAGAGGUCCUCCCCAUCUAAAAGGCCAACUGUUGGGCUGCAUCCUGCAGGCCUGCAAGUCCUGGACUGGCCUAGCUUCAAGACUGAAGAGCUCUGAGUCAGCAACAGAUACCACUGUUUUCAUAGAUGGGGAGGUUACCUGUCUGAGACAAGGUCCUGGAGCGACUUCCCACUGUGUGCGCUGAACGUCCAUCCCCAUCUACCAACCUGAACAGUCUGACUAGAAGAACAGCCCUACAAACGUACCACAUGGACCCACAGCUUACACACAGAAGCCCACAGACAUGCAAGCAGGAGGAGAUUCAACUGCAAACUCAUGCCACUUUCCAAGAGCUAAACACCACUUGCACAGAAGUUAAGAGUAUAAUCCUUGAAGAAGAAUACCUACCUUUGGAAACCUGGCUCUGUCACUUAACAGCUGUGUAACCUUUAGAAAAAUGUCUAUGUUCUCUGUGUAUUAGUAUGCCCAAAAUACAUAAAAAAACAGUACCUUCUGGACAUAAGCCCUUAACACCAAA
Molecule: long non-coding RNA, 734 nt
Organism: Odocoileus virginianus texanus
Lineage: Eukaryota; Metazoa; Chordata; Mammalia; Artiodactyla; Cervidae
Source: RefSeq, a predicted model, not a curated record